AAGUCGUAACAAGGUCUCCGUUGGUGAACCAGCGGAGGGAUCAUUACCGAGUUUCCAACUCACAACCCAUUGUGAACAUACCUAUGUUGCUUCGGCGGUUCCACGGCUCCGGCCGCGCCGCCGAAGGCCCAAAACUCUUGUAUUACCAUGUGUUUACUCUGAGUAUUCUUGAAAUAAAUCAAAACCUUCAACAACGGAUCUCUUGGUUCUGGCAUCGAUGAAGAACGCAGCGAAAUGCGAUAAGUAAUGUGAAUUGCAGAAUUCAGUGAAUCAUCGAAUCUUUGAACGCACAUUGCGCCCGCCAGUAUUCUGGCGGGCAUGCCUGUCCGAGCGUCAUUUCAACCCUCGAACCCCUCCGGGGGGUCGGCGUUGGGGAUCGGCCCUUUACGGGGCCGGCCCCGAAAUACAGUGGCGGUCUCGCCGCAGCCUCUCCUGCGCAGUAGUUUGCACACUCGCAUCGGGAGCGCGGCGCGUCCAUUGCCGUAAAACACCCAACUUUCUGAAAUGUUGACCUCGGAUCAGGUAGGAAUACCCGCUGAACUUAAGCAUAUCAAUAAGCGGAGGAAAAGAAACCAACAGGGAUUGCCCCAGUAACGGCGAGUGAAGCGGCAACAGCUCAAAUUUGAAAUCUGGCCCCUAGGGUCCGAGUUGUAAUUUGUAGAGGAUGCUUUUGGUGAGGUGCCGCCCGAGUUCCCUGGAACGGGACGCCACAGAGGGUGAGAGCCCCGUCUGGCUGGCCGCCGAGCCUCUGUAAAGCUCCUUCGACGAGUCGAGUAGUUUGGGAAUGCUGCUCAAAAUGGGAGGUAUAUGUCUUCUAAAGCUAAAUAUUGGCCAGAGACCGAUAGCGCACAAGUAGAGUGAUCGAAAGAUGAAAAGCACCUUGAAAAGAGGGUUAAAUAGUACGUGAAAUUGUUGAAAGGGAAGCGCUUGUGACCAGACUUGGGCGCGGCGGAUCAUCCGGGGUUCUCUCCGGUGCACUUCGCCGCGUCUAGGCCAGCAUCAGUUCGUCGCGGGGGAAAAAGGCUUCGGGAACGUGGCUCCUCCGGGAGUGUUAUAGCCCGUUGCAUAAUACCCUGCGGUGGACUGAGGACCGCGCAUCUGCAAGGAUGCUGGCGUAAUGGUCACCAGCGACC
RNAcentral lists this ribosomal RNA (1133 nucleotides) under uncultured Trichoderma. RNAcentral's name for it is "eukaryotic LSU rRNA". The stretch from base 509 to 1133 matches the Rfam family "Eukaryotic large subunit ribosomal RNA", at positions 1 to 649 of the family's 3401-position model. Lineage: Eukaryota; Fungi; Ascomycota; Sordariomycetes; Hypocreales; Hypocreaceae. The record is from RNAcentral.